GGGCUGCUUUCCGCGGGCUUUUCAGUCACGCCGCAUUCAUUCGCUCCUUCAAUAAGUACACAGGGCAGCUCUCGGAGGGCGCGGGGAGUUGGGUCUGUUUCGUGUUUCCUGCACCGAAUGAAAUAAAGCGCCGCCAAUACCGACGACGCCGCCUUCCCGAGCAUCUCCGCUCUCGACUCCGGAGGUAACUGCCCAACGGACCUUGAUAACUGUCAUUGCCCUACGCCCCCUGUGUUUCUAUGACCUCGCUGUGUUCCGUGGGGUGCAUCGAAAGCCUUUGUACCUCCCUGUCACCCUGCCGUCUGGCUGCGGCUGCUCUUGGCUCAACCCGGGUCCGGCCUCGUGCGCUUCCGCGGCCGCUUGGACUGCGCGGGGUGAGGGCAGCACGAGGAACUCAUCUCAGCCUCUGCUAAACCCGGGCCGUGGGCAUCUCGCUGGAUCUGCAGAGGAACCCUAUGAGGCAUCAAUGAGAAUGGGAUUCGUCACUUACAAUUUUCCACGUCUGAUGAUUGGAUGGUUUUCCACAGUCUAGCUUCUGGCACCAUACAUUUCAAGCUUUGUUUCUCUCCACUACCUACAUCCUUUUGGAGGCUGGGAGCCAUAGGAUGCUGUGACAGAUUGUAUUUUACAAAAUGGUCACAACAAGAUCUCCCAUCUGACAGGCUCUUCUUGUAAUGAGACAUUGACAUUCCUCUCCUUGAGGCGUGGGUCCGUCCUCCUUCCCCUUGAACUUGAGUGGAUCUGAGAUUGCAGCAGAAGCAACACGAUGUGACUUCCAGGGUUAGGUGCUAGAACGUGAUGCAGCUUCUGCCCGGCCCUCUGGGGACACCGGCCUGUGGAACCCAGCCGCCAUACCGUGAGGAAGCCCAGGCCACAGCCAGCCAGCUUCAACUUUCAGAUAUGGGAGUGAGAAGCCUCCAGAUGAUUCCAGCCUCCAGCCCUCAAGCCACCGCAGCCGACACCACGUGAAGCAGUGACAGGCUGCCCCAGCUGAGCCCCACCUACUGCAGGAUUGUGAGCAAAACAAAUGAUCGCUGUCAUUUUUCAGCCAACAACGGAAACUCUGCGGGUGACCUGCUAUGUCGCAAUAGAUACCCAGGACACACACAUUUAUAUUGUGAAACAAGCCCUGGCGUGUACCUCCAAGUCACCAUAUGGGGCAAGUCAGCCCAGGGGGCAGUAGGAGUGUUCCCAGAGGCCACUGCUCCUCUGCCAUGUGUGAUGGCUCACACCCACUUUCCACGCACAUCAUAUAUAUGUACAUCCCUAAACAAAACCUAAUUGUCCCCUCACUUCCGCUUGCUCUUCGCCAGAUGCCAUAUGCCCACGGCUCCUCUUACACUGCUGGACCCGAUGGGAGGUGUGCUGGAAUGGAAGUCAAACUGGAAACAGAUGGUGGUCAUGGUCUGAACAAAACAUACAAGCGCCCUAUUCCGCCUGAGCCAAGCUCAGGAGGGGCCAGUACCCUUCCUUCCCCUCUGACCACUGCAUGUGUCACCCUGACGUGUCUCCUCCCGAAGACAGAGACCCUGCCUUUCUGGAUGGUUGUCAUCAGCCACCUUCUCCGCUGUGCUUGGAAUAAGUGCUUUGGUAGAGGCAGAGGACAUCGAGAUGGGCCCAGCCGAGCUUCAAGAUGGAAGGAACGGGGGGCCCUCAAUCACUCCUGGAGACGAGAGCCUCCCAUCCUUCGGGAGCCCCCACGUUGGACUUUACGUCAGUGAUAAAUCGUCUUCCAUUGUGGUAAGCCACUGCCCCUCGGGGAGUUAACUGUUGCAGCAGCCAGCUUUUCCCUGACUAUUACACCCCCAGGAAACACACUUCCUCCUGAGCUGAUGCUUAUGUUGUGGACGGUGGGGCCGGGAUCCCCCCAGACCCCCCCUGGCAGUGCAGUGAGUGGGAUGCGGUCUUGUCCGUUGCCAUCCGAGAUCUCAGACCACAAGGCGAUGCUUGGUGUCCUUGCUGAGCUCAGAGCCGACUGAGUCUGGGUGGGACCUUCUUGUCCUCAGAGCCUACCCUCCGUGUGGCUGUGGCCUGACAGACUCUGGGAGCUCCCCUUGCUCUCCUGGGUCUCUGAAUGGAGGGUCUCUAACCAUUGCCCACGGGGAAUGGAAUCCCUCUCGGGGAGCAAAAGCCUACAGAACAACCUCUCUGAGGAGCCGAUGGCCUUCACCCUCCAUAUGGCUCAUACACAGGCCACCUUCCUCCAGGGUCCUCAGGCUCCGUGUGAGGCACAGGGAGCCCCUUAGCGCCCAAGAGCUCACGUGACUCAUUCUAACGUGAGCAGCGAGGAGGAAGUCAAAGAAACGAGAAUCAUGAUUUGAGCGAGGCCCACGGUGGGUAUUUCUUGGCCAAGGAAUGGGGAGCCCAGCCAAAAUUCCCUGCCAAAAUUUCUCAGCUCUGAGAGUCACGGAUGAAGGGCAUAGGCACUUUCUGCCUCAUUAACCAAACUAGGAGGGGCGGCUUGGGAGGAAAAAUAUCCAGACCACUUCGGAGCACACGAAGUUAGAGGGGUCCGUGCGGGUGCCCACAUAGAUGCUUCUAGCAGCUGCACGGGAAUGGGGACCUGAGAGGGCUGAAUCGGGGUGCAAACUUGGGUGUGGAGCCAAGUGAUGAUGACCGCGCUGAGGGAGGGGAUUGCUGAGAGAGCCAGAGAGAAUGCUAAGAAGAGGUUUACGGGGCAAAGUGGGUCACUUGAGUGGCCAGGACAGCUAGACCAGGAGGCCAGUGGAAUCCAGGAGGAGAGGGUGGAAGAGAAGCAGGAGAGAGGGGUGUCACAGGAGCUGUGUGGGGGGCGAGUGAGGGAGAAGGCGUGGUCAGCCAGGUGGGGCAGCCAGAGGCCAGGAGGGCAGGGGACGUGGAAAGGCCAUCGCAUCUGGUGACACAAGCUCAUUGGCAGCCCUGCGAGAACAAAAGUUAACCCAGAAGGAACAGUCACUGGUUGGCAAGGGGAAGCCAGGUGGAGAUUUAAAAUUUAUGGCAGAGAGUCUGCAAAAAGGAUAAACUGCCCUGUAGGGACUGAGCUAAUUGUAUCACGUGGUGGGCCUGGGGCUGGGCCAGUCUAGCAGCACAAAACAGGAGCCCACUUGCACAAGCUUAAGUAAAAAGGGAGAAUUUAUAGGAAGAAUAUGAGACUCCGAGAUUCAAGGACAGGAAGUGCAGCCCGCCUCUGGGGGAAGGAACCUUGGCAGCUCCGCGUCUUCUCCCUUCCCUAUCUCUGCUGCUCUGACGUCUCUGAUCGCUGCUUCCCUCCCAGAUGGUGUCUUUCUUCUCUCUCAGCUUUUUCUGCUGUUCCGUGUGCAUGGUGGAACAUGGCUGCCUCAGGUGGCCCGCCUGGUCUGUUCACUUCCUUCUCCUCUGGGCUCACACUGUGCCUGCCACAAGGUGUUCAAGCAGCCAGUGAAGAUUGGCUAGAACCACCAAGGUAUCUGGAGGCCCAGUUCCCGAGAAAGCAUCUGAUUGGUCCAGUUGGGUCAGGUGCCCAUCCCUUAUCCAAUCAGUGGUGGCCAAGGGGAGGGUCUUGUGCCCGGGGCUCCUCAGUAGGGGCCUGGGAGUAGCAUCUUUGGGAAGCCAGCUGAGGCAGGUUCUUGAAGAGGAGAAUGCAGGUGGCUCACAUUCUCUGAUGUUCCGGCCAUGCUGCAGGCCCCUGAUCCCCCUGGAACAGAGAAAGGCUCCCGAGUUCAGGCUUCACUUUAAUGAUGAUCAAUAAACAAUGUGGAGGCCCCGAAGGAUGGGGCGUGUGCGCUGACACCUAAGUGGCAAAUGAGACAUUCUCUCCUCCACUUCCCCCGCCCCCAUGCACACACCCAAGCCCAGCGACACAACCCAAAGAACUCAUCAGGGCCUCUUGUGACAGUUAGAUGUCCCCAGGCUGAGCUCUCAUCUUCAGUUUCCUUCCACAAUAACCUGAAAAGAGAAGAGCUAAAUUGGAGGGAGCUGCGGCAGAGGGGGACACAAUACUUGCCCUGCUUGGAAUGGCCGUGACCCCACAGUAUGUGGGUCAGGCAGAGUCUCAACCGGAAGCAGUUAGGAUAGUUUGACAAGAUUCAGGGACAAAGGGACUAGUCCACAAAGAUGUGGGUGUAGGGGAACCACAGGAAUAACACAAGAAGCAGAAGCUGUUAGUGGUGGAGUUUUUGUGGGUUUUGGGGUUUUGUCUUGUUUUGUUUGUUUUUUAAUCACCCUGGUCCCGGAGGUGAGUAGAGAAGUCCAUGUUAAAAGGAGCAGGGACCUAGGAGUUCCCUGGUGGCUCGGUAGGUUAAGUAUCUGGCCUUGCCACUGCUAUGGAGCAGGUUUGAUCC
RNAcentral lists this long non-coding RNA (4298 nucleotides) under Sus scrofa (pig). RNAcentral describes it as "lncRNA (ENSSSCG00060073750.1)". The record is from RNAcentral. Lineage: Eukaryota; Metazoa; Chordata; Mammalia; Artiodactyla; Suidae.